CACUUAUGUGGUCAUUGUGAAUAUUGUUGAUCAGAACAGCAAAAGGACUCACUAGUAAGCAUAUUGCUAAGACAUAUCAUUAAAAACCUGUUGGCCAUACCCAAGGAGCACCAGGAGCCUGUAGAACAGCACAGGUUCUUCUUACCCUUUUACAUGUAAGACUUUAAAGAAUCGGUUUUCAACCUGUGAGUUUCUAGUCCCUUGUGAAUCGGCUAUCAGAUAUUUCCAUUAUGAUUCACAACAGUAGCGACAUUUCAGUUAUGAAGGAGCAAUGCAAUAAUUUUAUGGUUGGGGUUCUCCCCAACACAGGAACUGUAUUGAAGGGUACCAGCGUUAGGAAGGUUGAGAAUCAUUGCUUUAAAGGUUUUCUGUGUUCAGACAUUCUCUGAGGAUACAAUCCUUUUCCUAGCCAAGGAAGUUCAAGACUCCUUAUUUGAUGACAAUUGGCUGUUUUGGUUCUGCUUUCUCAGCUUCUCUUUCCCCUGGGACAACCCGGUGCUUUGUUGGUAAUCAGCGCUAUGUUCCAUCCCUGUGUGCUCUGAACACUGUGUUUGUUCUGUGCUGGAGCCCUGCUUUCUGUAGACUGUCUUGUCCACCCUCCUUGCUGCUCCUUCCAUGCUUCCCAGACUGAAGCCUUGGAGUCCAGCCUCUCAGACUCUGAUGCAGCCUUUAUGCAUCUCUUUGAGCACAUGACACACUGAGGGACCUCUGUCCCCCAUGGCACAUUGCCUCAGUGUUCAGUCACCCCUCUGUGCUCUCUUGGACUAUAACUUAUCUUAUAGCCUCACUUGAAUCUUUGCUAAUCUGUAAUAUUUUUGGCUUUGGGUCUGGCUGACACCAAAUGUCAUUUAUCUUGCAGUAUCUCGUUGACAUUUAACACUGUCUUGGCUAGUAGGUAGAAUUUAAAUGUGUUAGGUAUUAUCCAGGACCAGCAGAGCAUAAAGUAAUACUUUGUAUCCUGAUACAAGAUUGUGAUUUCAGGGCCACACAGCACAGCACAUCAUGCAAGAUGGGAUAGUGUCUUAGGUUUCCAUUUCUGUGAAAAGACACCAUGACCAAGGCAACUAGUAUAAGGCACAACAUUUAAUUCGGGCUGGCUUACAGGUUCAGAGGUUCAGUCCUUUCUCUUCAUAGCAGAAAGCACAGUAGCAUCCAGGUAGGCAUGGCUCUGGAGAAGGAACUGAGAGUUCUAUAUCUUCAUCCAUAGGAAGUGGGGAGCAGACUGUCUCCCAAGUGGCUAGGAGAAGGGUAUCAAAAUCCCACCCCCGAGAGUGAUAGACUUCCUCCAAAAAGCCACACCUACUCCAACAAGGUCAUACCUCCUAAUACUGCCACUCCCUGGGCCAAGCAUAUUCAAACCACCAGAUAGCAAUGACAUAAAAUAUUCUACGCACAGUUUUAUAUAUUUGAGGAAUUUACUUCAGAGAGACCUUAUUACCUCCUUGAUUAUCAGGCACACCUAAAUUCAGUUUUCUUAGGGGGAUUUGGGGAAAUGUUGUUUCAUGGUUUGCUUUUGCAAUAGUUCCUGCUUUUAUUUUGCUUCCUCUGCUCCCCUUGUGGAACUCAAUGGCAGUAUUUGAACUUAGAAGCAUGGUCCAGGGGGAGGAAUCAAUUUACUCGUCAUCAUUCUUACCAGGACAAGGAAGAUGUCUGUCAGUGUUUGCUGUAUCCUCUGUCCGCAGUAUUUGGAGUCAGAGGGUGUCAGGAAAUAUCAAGGGCCACAUAGUAGCUACAUAGUCUGUCUUUUGAUUAAAAGUUUCAGGUUCAAAAAGCUAGUGUAUCCUGUUUAACAUUUCUUCUUUUAUUUCAAUGUAAAUCUAAAUAUUUCUUGUUGGAAGCCAGAACCUUCCCCUGUCUCCUAUUUCUCUUUUAGGUAACAAUGACUGUUUAUCCUCAGUGAUUUCAAGGUUAGAGUAUUAGCUUAGUUAGAUUGCCUGCUGUUAACUCUAGUAUGCUCCUACGACAUAUAAAAUAAAGAAGCUCCGUUAUUGAAGAGACUGUCUAAUUGCACACAACAGAACACUUUUCAAGGCUGCUCACGGCUCUGUUGGCUCUGCAAAGGCUCCUGGUGUGUGGUCAAAAUGAACCCUUACACCUUGGUCAGUUUUCAGCUCUCGACAUCUUUCUGUUGAUGAGAUCAUGAUUUUCUACCACAUAGGAUGAAAUUUCUUUUUCCCGUGGGCAUACAUCCUAUUCUAUUGGACAGUUAUUAUGAUUCUGUCUUUUGAGUUAUCAGUAGCUAAGCUAGUGUAAUUGGAAAAACUUCCUUCCCCCAACUUUUAGUAGUGAUACCUUCCAGCGCUUCCCGAGGUGUUAGUUGUUGGAAACGGUUUUAGCCUAAGAAGAUCUUCAUCUGAUAAAAGUAUUGAUUGAGAAGGAGGAGGACUGCCAAAAUUCAAUUCUGUUCCUCAUUUUCUGGAACUUUUGGUCUAUCCUGGAAGGCUUGUCACUGAAUCAGAAAUGAAACUCCUUGGAGCUGGCCAGUGAUCUGAUUAUCACUGCGUCAUUUUCCUUUUGAGGACUGAUGCUUCAACAAGGUGAAGCAGGGCGUGUUUUACUUAGGGGGAGAUUAACUGAGUGAUACAUUGUUUCUUAGGUAAAGGCUGUAGGUGAAUGGAUGAAAAGAAGCUGUUGGCACAUAUGUCAACACUCCGUGGACCUCAGCCACUUUGCCCUGUUUUCCUGCUUACUCUGCUAAGACAAUGUUAGCUUUAAACUGCCCAAGCUUAGCCUGUUUCCCUAAGUUCAGAACUGCACUUACGUUUUUGUUUUUUUUUUUAACUUAACAUUUAGUAUCUUUUCUUUUCUCUUAUAUGUUAUAAAGGCACAUUUAAGACAAAGAAUCUGAUGACCUGGUAGAUCAAUUUACUAUAAGUUUUAAUAGAAGUUUUAAAUUUUUACAUAGAGGUCUGUUUAGUUUAGAUCAGGAUAACACAUUUUCUUCCUUAAGGACUGAGAUGGAAAUGGCUUGACUUUUUUCUUGGGGGGAGGCGCUUGUUUUGGGGUGACAUAUUACUCUAGCAAUGUCCUUACUGGAAGUUAGUUUCGUUGUAGCCCCUUUCUCCUUUAAAAGACACAGUAUCUUUACUGGCUGCCAGCUCUACUUACAGGAGUAUUUGAAAACAUUCUGGUGGAAAUUUGUCUCUCUGAUUUGUGUGUGAAGCCACCAUUCGAUUCCAGUGUGCUAACAGCAAGAGAAGACUCUCUCCCCUUUAAACAUUGGAUGAUGGUCAAUUUAAUCGAUGCCAUUAGAAACUAGAUCAUUUUCAUGAGGAGUUUAUUAAUGCUGAUUUGUAGGCCAGCUUAAAUGACACUUUAAAGAAGUUAAUUGUCCAGGGAGAAUUAAUUGCAGUAUUAAUGGGGCUAGUGAUUUGUGGGGAAUGAGAGGUAGAGAGAAAGUAGGAGAAGACACAAGUAAUAGACACCACUUAAUGUUUAUUUGUGACCAGGAGACCAGGACACAAUUUCUGAGUAAUCCUGUGCCUGCUUCAGCCCUUUCAAACAGCAGCGUGACUGCCUUUUUAAGAAUGCAGCGACACAUCUCAGCUUUGCUCGCCUUACUUUCUGCUCUAUCUCCUGAUGCAAUUAUCUCCACAUGGUCUCAAAUCUUCCAAGAUCAUGCCCGUAUGGGAGACAAAAGAAGGCAGAUCCUGUGUUGAUAAAGGGCACUUGGAGUUCCCCAAACACCCAGUUUCCAGGCAUGUGGAGGAUUCAGUAUUCUGUCAUUGCUUUUUCUCGGAUGCCCACUGAGAGCCAGAGGAAGCCUCGCUGACACCCUGAGGUGUGUGGAGGUGUAAUUUACUGGUGCCCAGGGCCUGCUGCCUGCGCUUUUCAUUCCACCUUCCUGGGGAAGGAGGACAGUGUAAUUUCAAAACUGGGAUUGUGAUUAUGGCUUUCUGAGCUACCGGCUGCCUGUUGGGCAUGUU
This 3926-nucleotide long non-coding RNA is filed under the name Mus musculus (house mouse). RNAcentral describes it as "long non-coding RNA chr12:40543234-40547160". The record is from RNAcentral. Lineage: Eukaryota; Metazoa; Chordata; Mammalia; Rodentia; Muridae.